CCCUUAGAUGUUCUGGGCCGCACGCGCGCUACAAUGAUGAAUUCAACGAGUUUAUAACCUUGGUUGAAAAGCCUGGGUAAUCUUUUGAACUUUCGUCGUGAUGGAGCUAGACCCUUGCAAUUAUUGGUCUCCAACGAGGAAUUCCUAGUAAACGCAAGUCAUCAGCUUGCAUUGAUUACGUCCCUGCCCUUUGUACACACCGCCCGUCGCACCUACCGAUUGAAUGGUCCGGUGAAAUCUUCGGAUUGAGACUUUGAUUUCUUCACGGAAAACGCUGUUUUAAGAAGUUGAUUAAACCUUACCAUUUAGAGGAAGGUGAAGUCGUAACA
RNAcentral lists this ribosomal RNA (329 nucleotides) under uncultured eukaryote. RNAcentral's name for it is "partial 18S ribosomal RNA". It matches the Rfam family "Eukaryotic small subunit ribosomal RNA", at positions 1470 to 1796 of the family's 1831-position model. The record is from RNAcentral.